Molecule: unclassified non-coding RNA, 1144 nt
Filed under: Hevea brasiliensis (rubber tree)
Lineage: Eukaryota; Viridiplantae; Streptophyta; Magnoliopsida; Malpighiales; Euphorbiaceae
Source: RNAcentral
UCUCUCUCUCUCUCUCUCUGUGAUAUUUUUCUAUAACUUGGUGUCUCUGUGUCUCUACGAUCACGAUCCAACGGUCCAAAAUGAACGGAGCUCCUUACGCUUAUUUCUCCAGGUUUUAAGCCCCAAACCUCCAGAUCUGUUCUCUCUGUGCUCAGAUCUUCAAUUUCGGUUUAAUAUUUGUAUUUCUUUUUUGACGCACGCAAAUGGAGGCUAGCUACGGCUUAGUGACAGUUGCGCUAAUUAACGGUGCACUAACGUGCGCCGUUGAGGCAAUAGCUAGUUUGCUAGUUUCGGCAGCAUUGGUCAAAGCAGCCCAGGUACGCCAAAAAGGUUUUUAGAUUUUCGUUUCCUAGUAAAAUUUUGGGUCAGUGAUAUCUUAGCGUGCGCCUUUUCUCCUGAAAUCCACUAAAACGCGCCUCUGCUUUUCCUUUCUAACAUGCGCGCGCCACCUCCUUUCAAUCUCGUCUGAAGGUGUUCAUUUUUUUUGGUCUGCUUCAAUUUUAUCUUUUCUGCUAACAUGAGCAGGCAUGGCGUGGGUCUGUCCUUUGCUAACUGCGUUGUGGGAUUUUUUGGGUGUUCCGACUGUUUUCUAUGCUUUUUGUAUGGAUAGUUAUAUUAUUCGUGCCUUUUCCACACCAGCUUAACGUGCGCCCCCGUUCCCUAAUCCGGUGCGCUUUUAUUUUUUCUUUUUAAAUUUCGUUUAGUCAAGUCUACGUUGAGCUAAAGUGAGCCGGAUUUGGAAGGAAUAUUUAACAAUAAUUAAUGAUCUAGUUUGAGUCCGGAUUUUUACACGUGUGGCCUGUGAGAUAUAAUACAAAAUAUUCUUUUGUCGUGUAUAACGAUUGUUGGAAAUGUUAAAAGUCAAAGGAGAGACAUUGUUCUCGUUUAUGCCACCAAUGUUGGGCUUGGGAAUAUUCGUUUUAUGAUGCUGAGUUUAUAGAGUCCGUCUUUUUUUUUUUUAUACAUAUAAUUAAAUAAUAUUUAGACUUCUUGUUCAUCUAAUUUGGAUUUUUUAAAUCUGGGACGGUGCAGAUUUUCUUCCGAAGAAUAUUUUGGCCAUUUUAAAAUUAAAAAAAAAAAACUUUUGAGUUAGUUCGUCAUCGUGAUUUGUGCACUUAUACAAGUAUUUUGUCUCUUUCUAGGU